AUACUCUGGUUUCUCUUCAAAACAAAUCUUUCUCCUUUUAUUAAAGAUUUCCAUGGAGAGGAACAGUUAUGAGUUGGUAACCAAAUUUUUUGAGGUAUUGCUCAGGCAAGGCU
This 113-nucleotide small nuclear RNA is filed under the name Propithecus coquereli (Coquerel's sifaka). Its description in RNAcentral is "U5 spliceosomal RNA (ENSPCOG00000010446.1)". It matches the Rfam family "U5 spliceosomal RNA". From Rfam's summary of the family: U5 RNA is a component of both types of known spliceosome. Lineage: Eukaryota; Metazoa; Chordata; Mammalia; Primates; Indriidae. The record is from Rfam by way of RNAcentral.